Drosophila ananassae is the source of this 1350-nucleotide long non-coding RNA. RefSeq lists it as uncharacterized. NCBI's taxonomy places the organism in Eukaryota, Metazoa, Arthropoda, Insecta, Diptera, Drosophilidae. The transcript has 2 exons. The record is from RefSeq and is a predicted model, not a curated record.
AACAAGACAAAAUAAAUUCUAUAAAAAAAACGUAAACAAACUUAUUCGAUACGAUAGUCGAUUAGCCUUAUUCGAUAUAAUAAGUCGAUAACAGAUCGCGGUAACAGCGCCUGUUAAGCUGUCAAGGCGAACUAUCUGGCAACUCUGCAAACUGACAAGCUACCCUUCACUAACCCAGGAAAAGUUCUUUUGCGAUCCAGAAUCAAAAGUGAACGGUUGGAGUUAUAGCAAUUAAAAACCCAAGCCAAAUCCACAUCCAAAUCCCACGUGGGAAAAGUUAGUACCCAAAGUGGCACCCAAGUCUUCCACCAAGUGCAGCUGAAUAUUGACCGUGAACGUGCGCAGCCGUUGGCAUCAGCACGCGUGUCUGUGUAUGUGUGUGUGUGUGUCUGAAACAUUCAGGUGAGCAGGCGGAUAAGUUGCCUAUUAGGUUAUUAAUAGAAGUGUUUUAGGUCAUCCUCAAAACCCCGUAAUAGUGGGCGUAGAGCUACACCGGAGCCUACGACAAACAACGCGUCCCGUCGCGACCCAGAAGUCCACGGCGGAGCCACCGCGUGCCUUGCUGGGUAGACGUUCGUGAAACGCUUUCCUCGAUCAGCUCCUAAACGUGCGCGAAUCCGGACCAGACCCAAGCCACGAUAGGCGAGGAGUUCCCUGGUAGCCGGAGACGUGUGCGUGAUUGGGGCAGCAUAGGAUCAGGAGCGGUGCUGAAACUUUUCGAGGAACGUGUGGGAGGACAUAACCUCACUUUGUGAAGCAGCACCUCGUGUUCGGCAACAUGACCUCGGCCAUGUAAAGGGCAGUUUUGCGAUCGCUGCAGCAAUCAUUUAGAGGCGACUAAAUAACAACAGCAACAACAAGGAGACAUGCGCAAUAAAUUGUGCCAGUAGCAGCGGAGCAAAAUAGUUGGCAACAUAUACAUCGAAUCUUCGUAAUUUAAUUUAAAUUUCAUCAAAGCACCCUGCGCUCCAGUCUACAGGCCUGCGGACUUCGAGGGAUUUGGUUUCGUGAGUACAAUAUAGACUCGAUCAUGUAUUAUUGCCGCUCAAAGAAAGCGUAUGAAUAUUUAGGUAUCGUAAUGCAUAAAAUCUACUUUAACUAUUAUUUGACCCAGCUACAUAUAUAUAUAUAUUCCUUUAUCUUUUGAAUAUUUAACUUUUUGUAUUACAUCCAAAAAAAUUCCAUUAUUAUUAUUAUUAAAUCCAUUAUUAUUUGUUAAUUAACCGGUAUUACAACCGUUUAUGGGAAUUAGGCUAAGCACAAUCUAGAAAGAAGAGCAAUCAUGUUUUAUAAUGAAGUUGAUUAAUUGAUAUUGAAAUGAAGUAAAAUUAUAGUUUAAUGGGCACCUGA